AACACGUACACAACCUUCCUACAAGCUGGGGAAUAGCCCAUAGAAAUUUGGAUUAAUACCCCGUAACAUAACGAUGUGGCAUCACAUUGUUAUUAUAGCUUCUGCGCUUGUUGAUGGGUGUGCGGCUGAUUACAUAGUUGGCGGGGUAACGGCCCACCAAGUCUACGAUCAGUAGCUGAUGUGAGAGCAUGAUCAGCCACACGGGCACUGAGACACG
RNAcentral lists this ribosomal RNA (217 nucleotides) under uncultured Bacteroidota bacterium. RNAcentral's name for it is "uncultured Bacteroidetes bacterium partial 16S ribosomal RNA". It matches the Rfam family "Bacterial small subunit ribosomal RNA", at positions 112 to 328 of the family's 1533-position model. The record is from RNAcentral. Lineage: Bacteria; Pseudomonadati; Bacteroidota.